ACACGACUACAUUAGAUACCCCUGUAGUCCUAGCCGUAAACGAUACUCGCUAGGUGUCGGCCACGGUGCGACCGUUGUCGGUGCCGUAGGGAAGCCGUGAAACGAGCCACCUGGGAAGUACGGCCGCAAGGCUGAAACUUAAAGGAAUUGGCGGGGGAGCACAACAACGGGUGGAGCUUGCGGUUUAAUUGGAUUCAACGCCGGAAAUCUUACCGGGACCGACAGCAACAUGAAGGCCAAGCUGAAGACUUUGCCGGAUUAGCUG
RNAcentral lists this ribosomal RNA (265 nucleotides) under uncultured archaeon. Its description in RNAcentral is "partial 16S ribosomal RNA". It matches the Rfam family "Archaeal small subunit ribosomal RNA", at positions 717 to 982 of the family's 1478-position model. The record is from RNAcentral.